GCGCCCGUAGCUCAGCUGGAUAGAGCGCGGGACUUCUAAUCCUGAGGCCGCUGGUUCGAGUCCAGCCGGGCGCACCA
RNAcentral lists this transfer RNA (77 nucleotides) under Sandarakinorhabdus glacialis. Its description in RNAcentral is "Polymorphobacter glacialis tRNA-Arg". It matches the Rfam family "tRNA". From Rfam's summary of the family: Transfer RNA (tRNA) molecules are approximately 80 nucleotides in length. Their secondary structure includes four short double-helical elements and three loops (D, anti-codon, and T loops). Lineage: Bacteria; Pseudomonadati; Pseudomonadota; Alphaproteobacteria; Sphingomonadales; Sphingosinicellaceae. The record is from RNAcentral.